This 542-nucleotide ribosomal RNA is filed under the name Sandal spike phytoplasma. RNAcentral's name for it is "bacterial SSU rRNA". It matches the Rfam family "Bacterial small subunit ribosomal RNA", at positions 138 to 671 of the family's 1533-position model. Lineage: Bacteria; Bacillati; Mycoplasmatota; Mollicutes; Acholeplasmatales; Acholeplasmataceae. The record is from RNAcentral.
CGAGGAUAACAGUUGGAAACGACUGCUAAGACUGGAUAGGAGACAAGAAGGCAUCUUCUUGUUUUUAAAAGACCUAGCAAUAGGUAUGCUUAGGGAGGAGCUUGCGUCACAUUAGUUAGUUGGUGGGGUAAAGGCCUACCAAGACUAUGAUGUGUAGCCGGGCUGAGAGGUUGAACGGCCACAUUGGGACUGAGACACGGCCCAAACUCCUACGGGAGGCAGCAGUAGAGAAUUUUCGGCAAUGGAGGAAACUCUGACCGAGCAACGCCGCGUGAACGAUGAAGUAUUUCGGUACGUAAAGUUCUUUUAUUAGGGAAGAAUAAAUGAUGGAAAAAUCAUUCUGACGGUACCUAAUGAAUAAGCCCCGGCUAACUAUGUGCCAGCAGCCGCGGUAAUACAUAGGGGGCAAGCGUUAUCCGGAAUUAUUGGGCGUAAAGGGUGCGUAGGCGGUUAAAUAAGUUUAUGGUCUAAGUGCAAUGCUCAACAUUGUGAUGCUAUAAAAACUGUUUAGCUAGAGUAAGAUAGAGGCAAGUGGAAUUCCA